This 323-nucleotide ribosomal RNA is filed under the name uncultured eukaryote. RNAcentral describes it as "partial 18S ribosomal RNA". It matches the Rfam family "Eukaryotic small subunit ribosomal RNA", at positions 1470 to 1796 of the family's 1831-position model. The record is from RNAcentral.
CCCUUAGAUGGUCUGGGCGGCACGCGCGCUACAAUGAUGCAUUCAAAAAGUCUUCUGACCUUAGAAGGUUGGGUAUUCUCCAAAGUGCAUCGUGAUGGGAAUAGUUUAUUGCAAUUUUUAAUCUUGAACGAGGAAUUCCUAGUAAGUACAGGUCAUCAACUUGUGUUGAUUACGUCCCUGCCCUUUGUACACACCGCCCGUCGCUACUACCGAUUGAAUGGCUUAGUGAGGCUUCCGGAUUGGUUUAGAGAAGGGGGCAACUCCAUCUUGGAACCGAGAAGCUAGUCAAACUUGGUCAUUUAGAGGAAGUAAAAGUCGUAACA